CAGUCGCCACGGUAAGACGAACCGUGCGAACGUUAUUCGGAAUCACUGGGCUUAAAGCGCGUGUAGGCGGGCCGCCACGUCGGUUGCUGAAAUCCCCCGGCUCAACCGGGGAACUGGCAGCGAUACGAGCGGCCUGGAGGGGGGUAGGGGGGCCUGGAACUUCCGGUGGAGCGGUGAAAUGCGUUGAGAUCGGAAGGAACGCCCGUGGCGAAAGCGAGGCCCUGGACCCUUACUGACGCUGAGACGCGAAAGCCAGGGGAGCGAACGGGAUUAGAUACCCCAGUAGUCCCUGUCUCUUAUA
RNAcentral lists this ribosomal RNA (301 nucleotides) under uncultured bacterium. RNAcentral describes it as "partial 16S ribosomal RNA". It matches the Rfam family "Bacterial small subunit ribosomal RNA", at positions 509 to 807 of the family's 1533-position model. The record is from RNAcentral.